RNAcentral lists this small RNA (548 nucleotides) under Pan troglodytes (chimpanzee). RNAcentral describes it as "processed transcript". The record is from RNAcentral. Lineage: Eukaryota; Metazoa; Chordata; Mammalia; Primates; Hominidae.
GCGGAACUCCGGGUGCCGGUUGAGGUUGCUGGUGGACCUGCUCUGGUGGUCUUGGAUGAGGCCCCAUGAGCGCGGCGCCCCUGGUGGGCUACAGCAGCAGCGGCUCCGAGGAUGAGUCCGAGGACGGGAUGCGGACCAGGCUGGGGGAUGGGAGCCACCGUCGUGGCCACAGCCCCCUUCCCAGGCAGAGAUUUCCAGUACCUGACAGUGUGCUGAACAUGUUCCCGGGCACCGAGGAGGGGCCUGAAGAUGACAGCACAAAACACGGGGGACGGGUGCGCACCUUCCCCCACGAGCGAGGCAACUGGGCCACCCACGUCUAUGUACCAUAUGAAGCCAAGGAGGAGUUCCUGGAUCUGCUUGAUGUGUUGCUGCCCCAUGCCCAGACAUAUGUCCCCCGGCUGGUAAGGAUGGAGGCGUUCCACCUCAGCCUGUCCCAGAGUGUGGUUCUGCGCCACCACUGGAUCCUCCCCUUCGUGCAGGCUCUGAAAGCCCGUAUGACCUCCUUCCACAGAAAUGCAUCUCCUGCUAGACUGGUCCAGAUCAAA